RNAcentral lists this transfer RNA (100 nucleotides) under Rasamsonia emersonii CBS 393.64. It matches the Rfam family "tRNA". From Rfam's summary of the family: Transfer RNA (tRNA) molecules are approximately 80 nucleotides in length. Their secondary structure includes four short double-helical elements and three loops (D, anti-codon, and T loops). The record is from Rfam by way of RNAcentral. Lineage: Eukaryota; Fungi; Ascomycota; Eurotiomycetes; Eurotiales; Trichocomaceae.
GUUCCUCUGGCGUAAUGGCAACGCGUUCGGCUUCUAUUCGUGUUCUACCGUCCAACGGGUAGGGACCGAAAGAUUCUCGGUUCGAGUCCGGGGAGGAACG